Molecule: ribosomal RNA, 200 nt
Filed under: uncultured bacterium
Lineage: Bacteria
Description: partial 16S ribosomal RNA
Rfam family: Bacterial small subunit ribosomal RNA
Source: RNAcentral
ACGCUCGACACCUACGGGAGGCAGCAGUUGGGAAUAUUGGACAAUGGAGGAAACUCUGAUCCAGUGACGCCGCGUGAAGGAAGAAGGUCUUCGGAUUGUAAACUUAUUUUGUCAGGGAAGAAAAAUGACUGUACCUGAAGAAAAAGCACCGGCUAACUACGUGCCAGCAGCUGCGGUAAUCUGAGGCGGGCUGGCAAGGC